Molecule: small nuclear RNA, 182 nt
Organism: Hyaena hyaena (striped hyena)
Lineage: Eukaryota; Metazoa; Chordata; Mammalia; Carnivora; Hyaenidae
Product: U2 spliceosomal RNA
Exons: 1
Source: RefSeq, a predicted model, not a curated record
AUCACUUCUUGGCCUUUUGGCUAAGAUCAAAUGUAGUAUUUGUUCUUAUCGGUUUAAUAUUUGAUACAUCCUCUGAGGACAAUAUAGUAAAUGGAUUUUGGAGCAGGGUUAUAGGAAUGUCCUUUGUCCAUUUCAAUGCAUGAACCUGGUAUUGCAGUACCUCCAGGAACAGCACACUCCCU